CACGUAGGGUGCGAGCGUUGUCCGGAAUUAUUGGGCGUAAAGAGCUCGUAGGCGGUGUGUCGCGUCGGCCGUGAAAACCUGCAGCUUAACUGUGGGCUUGCGGUCGAUACGGGCAGACUAGAGUGCGGUAGGGGAGACUGGAAUUCCUGGUGUAGCGGUGAAAUGCGCAGAUAUCAGGAGGAACACCGGUGGCGAAGGCGGGUCUCUGGGCCGUAACUGACGCUGAGGAGCGAAAGCGUGGGGAGCGAACAGG
RNAcentral lists this ribosomal RNA (253 nucleotides) under uncultured bacterium. RNAcentral's name for it is "partial 16S ribosomal RNA". It matches the Rfam family "Bacterial small subunit ribosomal RNA", at positions 524 to 776 of the family's 1533-position model. The record is from RNAcentral.